RNAcentral lists this ribosomal RNA (497 nucleotides) under uncultured bacterium. RNAcentral's name for it is "partial 16S ribosomal RNA". It matches the Rfam family "Bacterial small subunit ribosomal RNA", at positions 28 to 507 of the family's 1533-position model. The record is from RNAcentral.
GAUGAACGCUGGCGGCGUGCCUAAUACAUGCAAGUCGAGCGAACAGACGAGGAGCUUGCUCCUCUGACGUUAGCGGCGGACGGGUGAGUAACACGUGGAUAACCUACCUAUAAGACUGGGAUAACUUCGGGAAACCGGAGCUAAUACCGGAUAAUAUAUUGAACCGCAUGGUUCAAUAGUGAAAGACGGUUUUGCUGUCACUUAUAGAUGGAUCCGCGCCGCAUUAGCUAGUUGGUAAGGUAACGGCUUACCGAGGCAACGAUGCGUAGCCGACCUGAGAGGGUGAUCGGCCACACUGGAACUGAGACACGGUCCAGACUCCUACGGGAGGCAGCAGUAGGGAAUCUUCCGCAAUGGGCGAAAGCCUGACGGAGCAACGCCGCGUGAGUGAUGAAGGUCUUCGGAUCGUAAAACUCUGUUAUUAGGGAAGAACAAAUGUGUAAGUAACUAUGCACGUCUUGACGAUACCUAAUCAGAAAGCCACGGCUAACUACGUG